GCUACGGCCAUACCACCUUAGGCACGCCCGAUCUCGUCUGAUCUCGGAAGCUAAGCAGGGUCGGGCCUGGUUAGUACUUGGAUGGGUGACCCCCCUGGGAAUACCAGGUGCUGUAAGCA
This 119-nucleotide ribosomal RNA is filed under the name Gadus morhua (Atlantic cod). The record is from RNAcentral. Lineage: Eukaryota; Metazoa; Chordata; Actinopteri; Gadiformes; Gadidae.